CAGCCGCCACGGUAAUACGGAGGGGGCUAGCGUUGUUCGGAAUUACUGGGCGUAAAGCGCACGUAGGCGGAUCAGAAAGUCAGAGGUGAAAUCCCAGGGCUCAACCUUGGAACUGCCUUUGAAACUCCUGGUCUUGAGGUCGAGAGAGGUGAGUGGAAUUCCGAGUGUAGAGGUGAAAUUCGUAGAUAUUCGGAGGAACACCAGUGGCGAAGGCGGCUCACUGGCUCGAUACUGACGCUGAGGUGCGAAAGCGUGGGGAGCAAACAGGAUUAGAUACCCGGGUAGUCCCUGUCUCUUAUAC
RNAcentral lists this ribosomal RNA (301 nucleotides) under uncultured bacterium. RNAcentral describes it as "partial 16S ribosomal RNA". It matches the Rfam family "Bacterial small subunit ribosomal RNA", at positions 509 to 807 of the family's 1533-position model. The record is from RNAcentral.